RNAcentral lists this transfer RNA (118 nucleotides) under Sordaria macrospora k-hell. It matches the Rfam family "tRNA". Rfam says of the family: Transfer RNA (tRNA) molecules are approximately 80 nucleotides in length. Their secondary structure includes four short double-helical elements and three loops (D, anti-codon, and T loops). Further hydrogen bonds mediate the characteristic L-shaped molecular structure. tRNAs have two regions of fundamental functional importance: the anti-codon, which is responsible for specific mRNA codon recognition, and the 3' end, to which the tRNAs corresponding amino acid is attached (by aminoacyl-tRNA synthetases). tRNAs cope with the degeneracy of the genetic code in two manners: having more than one tRNA (with a specific anti-codon) for a particular amino acid; and 'wobble' base-pairing, i.e. permitting non-standard base-pairing at the 3rd anti-codon position. RNAcentral also lists the same sequence under 1 other name. Lineage: Eukaryota; Fungi; Ascomycota; Sordariomycetes; Sordariales; Sordariaceae. The record is from Rfam by way of RNAcentral.
GGCUGGAUGGCCGAGCGGUCUAAGGCGCUAGACUCAAGAACUACAAAUUCUUCUUCACCACAAGGUGAGGUGUAUUCUAGUAUCGAAAGAUGCGUGGGUUCGAAUCCCACUCCAGUCA